AAUAGUACCCGGGUAGUCCAUGCCGUAAACGAUGUCUACUAGCCGUUGGGGCCUUUGAGGCUUUAGUGGCGCAGCUAACGCGAUAAGUAGACCGCCUGGGGAGUACGGUCGCAAGACUAAAACUCAAAUGAAUUGACGGGGGCCCGCACAAGCGGUGGAGCAUGUGGUUUAAUUCGAUGCAACGCGAAGAACCUUACCUGGCCUUGACAUACUAGAAACUUUCCAGAGAUGGAUUGGUGCCUUCGGGAAUCUAGAUACAGGUGCUGCAUGGCUGUCGUCAGCUCGUGUCGUGAGAUGUUGGGUUAAGUCCCGCAACGAGCGCAACCCUUUUCCUUACUUGCCAGCAUUUCGGAUGGGAACUUUAAGGAUACUGCCAGUGACAAACUGGAGGAAGGCGGGGACGACGUCAAGUCAUCAUGGCCCUUACGGCCAGGGCUACACACGUGCUACAAUGGUCGGUACAAAGGGUUGCUACCUAGCGAUAGGAUGCUAAUCUCAAAAAGCCGAUCGUAGUCCGGAUUGGAGU
Molecule: ribosomal RNA, 526 nt
Filed under: uncultured bacterium
Lineage: Bacteria
Description: bacterial SSU rRNA
Rfam family: Bacterial small subunit ribosomal RNA
Source: RNAcentral